This 406-nucleotide ribosomal RNA is filed under the name uncultured bacterium. RNAcentral's name for it is "partial 16S ribosomal RNA". It matches the Rfam family "Bacterial small subunit ribosomal RNA", at positions 30 to 526 of the family's 1533-position model. The record is from RNAcentral.
AUUGAACGCUGGCGGCAGGCUUAACACAUGCAAGUCGAGCGAGCGGCGGACGGGUGAGUAAUGUCUGGGAAACUGCCUGAUGGAGGGGGAUAACUACUGGAAACGGUAGCUAAUACCGCAUACCAUCAGAUGUGCCCAGAUGGGAUUAACUAGUCGGUGGGGUAAUGGCUCCCCUAGGCGACGAUCCCUCGCUGGUCCGAGAGGAUGACCAGCCACAAGGGAACGGAGACACGGUCCAGACGCCUAAGGGAGGCAGCAGUGGGGAAUAUUGCACAAUGGGCGAAAGCCUGAUUCAGCCAUGCCGCGGGUAUGAAGAAGGCCUUCGGGUUGUAAAGCACUUUCAGCGAGGAGGCGUUACCCGCAGAAGAAGCACCGGCUAACUCCGUGCCAGCCGCCGCGGUAAUAC